AUGUUUAUUAAGAGAUCAAGCAGGGCAAGUAUAGUACAACCAUCUUACUUGCAUACAUGUCAAAAAUUCAUCCAUCAUAUCAUCCUAAAAUUUUGCGACGCAAACGUCUUGUUUACAACAAAGACGAUGAUGAUCGUGAAUAUAAUAAUAAUAAUCGUCUUCCUCCUCUUCCUCCUCCUCGUCUAGCUCGUGUAAUAACAAGUAAAUCACAUGUUAAUUUCCCAUCUAUCUUCACGGUUUGGAAGAAAUCGAGUAUGAGUUUCCAAGGUACGGAUGGAUUCACGGUGUUCGAUAAGCAAGGGAGGUUAGUUUUUCGGGUUGACAACUAUACCCGAAGGAAGAAUCGGGCCAUUGCUAGCCGGGGCAGCCGAUCCGGUGGACUAGUACUCAUGGACGCACAGGGUAAACCUCUCUUAACAUUGAGACCACAGAUGAACGCGCAAUUACAAUAUGAAUGGAAUGGAUAUAGCGGAGGAGAAGAUGACGAUGGAUCCACUCCUUUAUUCGUAAUGAGAAGACCUCCAUCAUCUUUGUUCGCGAUGAUGGGAGCAAGCAUGACGACUACGUCAUGCCAAGCUCAAGUAUUUGUUGCGGGAGAGACUAAUAAUAAUGUCAUGGACAUGAAAAAGAGGCAGAGGAAACCAAAUUACAGAGUGGAGGGUUCUUUUCGUAGGCGAAAUUGCAACAUCACAAAUUCAGAUGGUCAUAUUGUAGCAAAUAUAUCGCGAAAAAUAGCUAACGCUACUACUCACACCACUAUUUUGAUUAGCGACGAUGUUUUUAGCUUGAUGGUACAACCAGGGUUUGAACCUCAUAUUUUUAUGGCUUUUGUUAUUAUUUUGGAUCGUAUGUAUCCUAACUCAUACACUCCCCUUAUUUGUUCUGAAUGUAAUUGAUUUUUAUCUCUAAAUUAUCGAAUUCAAUUUGUUGA
Molecule: RNA transcript, 931 nt
Organism: Solanum stenotomum
Lineage: Eukaryota; Viridiplantae; Streptophyta; Magnoliopsida; Solanales; Solanaceae
Gene name: protein LURP-one-related 5-like
Exons: 2
Source: RefSeq, a predicted model, not a curated record